ACAUACCUGUAUUAACCAUGAAAAUACCGUACAAAGACCAGCACACAUACAAGUACAAACCGGUAGAAAUCAGAGGACAGCUCUACCACCAGACUAUUAGCACAAAGGCCCUUGGAAAAAAGAAGAAAUACAACUGGAACCCUAGAACCUUUGCAUGCCAGAAUGCACCGCCGUCCGACGGCGACGGCCAUCCAGAACAGGACCCACGAACCGCAGAAGAACCAGAGCUCCAUCGCUUCAAAGCUUUCAGAAGAGCCGCAGUAGAAGAUCGUCAACGAGGACGAGCAGAAGGCAGCGCCGCAGAUCCAUCGGCCGGGGACACACCCUGAGCUCCGGCGAUCCUGGAGGCAGAUCCGAUGGCGAGGACUGGACACGCCGCAGGGAGACUGGAUCUGCUCCACUUUCCCGACAACUGCAAGGCCCAAAGCUGCCACUCUAAUCACCAAACAAAAGGCCGACGAACUCACCUCCCUUUCGGGCCGACAAGCCGUCGACGAGCACCUCCUGUACACGAGCUCCACACAGGGAGCACCACCUCCACAAGCUCGCCGAUAGCACCGGAGAGAAGCAUCAUCGGAGGGAGGAAGAACUCGAGAGGACUUAUUCCGAUAUGGCGUCGCCGCCGCCUCCACCUCGCCGCCGACGCCCGGAAACCAAAUCCUAGAAAACCUAGUACCUAAUCUACACCACCGCACGGAGAGCCACCGUUCCCGCACACAUCCGAGAGCCCAAAGGCCGCCGGAUGCGGAGGGGAACGGCGACCUCGCCGGCGGGAGCACGGGUCGCCUUGCUUUCGCCUGUCGCAACUGUUGGGGGAAGAAACGAGAAGGGACGAGAGAUUGGGGCUAGGGUUUAGCCGGCGGCGCCCCUUGGUGGCGGUGGCUGCCCCCUCCAGCCUCCUCCUCCCAGGCACACGCAUGUCCGGCGGCUCCCUCGUCACGCACGCACGCCCAGGCCCAGGACCGGCGCCCGCAGCGGAUCCGCGAGAGGCGCCGACAGGCGAGGCCCUGAGGCCUUCUCCUCACCCGCUGCGGGGUCCGAGGCGAGGUCAGCGGAUACCUGGAGGAAGGAGCUGCACCUCGCCGCCGCCGCCGUCGCCUCGGGAUCCAGCGGGGAGCAAAGGGAGCACACCGCGUUCCCUUUCCUCAUCGUCAUUCGAUCUACAGGGCGACGGCACGACGGCGUGGAGCAAGCGACGAGUGCCACGGGGGCGGAUCUGGGGACGCAAGGGCGCAAGGCAGCAGCCGGCAUCGGGCAGUCGGCGGCGGCGGCGCGAGUCGCAGGGCGCAGGCACAGUUCAGCGGCCGGAAGGUUGGGAGGCGCGGGCAGGCGACGACGGAAGGGCGGCGAGCAUGCCACGGUGAGGCGCUGCAGGGCAGCGACGAGGCGACUUCAAGUUCGUCCUCCCGUGCAAUGACGCCAACAACUGAGGAGUCCUCCAAUGAAGGGAGAUCUAUUAUGGAGGAGGCAUUGUGGCAUUGCCUACGAAAACAGCUUGAUAAUAGAGAACUUGUUGCUUCCCAAUAUCUCCUAGCAUGGACAACAUCAAACCAAAGGGGAAAACCAGGCCAUACAAUCUGCUAUACGUUUGGCGGUUCGAAUAUUGUAUUGCCAUGGACCAUACUUCUAAAGCGAUGGUGUGCAGAAGCUCAGUCAGCCAAGUCAGUUUGAGAUGGCGUUUAUGCCCAGCUUGAAUGGUGUCGCCGUCCUCGGAGAAGCCACUCCCGCCGCAUCGAAGGGCAGUGACACGAUCCUUCACCUUCAGAUGUUAUCUGGUUGACCCAUUCAAAGGUGCUCAUAUUCAAAGUUUCUGCUGGUCUAUUGUUGUUUCCAAUAUGUUUGUUCUGACAUGAAUAUAUAUUUGCUCUUGAGUUAGCAAUUAAAAAAUUCUUAUUCCUUGAAUUUUGUGCAAACAUGUGCUGUGCCACACGUGGGCCUCUUGCUAAAUUGAUGUUUUAACAAUAAAGACACGCUUGGCUAAGGUCAUUGUUGUGAUAGUCAAUAUUGCAACAGUGCCAACACCAGCUCAAGCAGAACAAUCCUCUGACAAUGAAAGCGAUGUUCCAAAUUAUUAUAAUAUAGAAGUUUUGGUAACUAUCUUUUAGCCCAGCUAUAUAUGAAUACAUGUUCAACUCUGCAACUACUUCUAAAAUGAAGUGCACUUUUGCUACUUGCUAAACUAAAUAAUCAUAUUGAUUCAUCCUUUCUUUUUUUUUACUGAGAUCAUACAAUGGCAUUGUAGUGAUUACUAUUGAGGUAACAGGUAAGCAGCUAUUCUACAUAUUUUUGGUUUCUUUAUUCCACUCUCUACGAUAAUAUAGUGAACUUGAGUCCAAUAAUCAUUUCUGAAGAAAUAUUGGCUGCUUAUAUGUACAGAGCUGCUUUCCAUAAAUGUUGUGCUAUAGAAGUUGCUUGAUUUCAGUUUAAAUGAUUGCCUCAAAGAGUUUUGCAAUGUGAAUGAUACAUGCAAGUAAGGAUCACAUCCAGAAAGGACAGGCUGGGAUUAAUGUAUUUCGUUAUCUGGGCAAAGCUAAUUUUUGUCCUCAUAAAUUGCAUCCAUAUCAUAUAAGUGUAAAAUUGUUAUUUUGAUAAGAAUUUUUUCCAUUGGUCUGUAAGCUGCGCUAGAAGUUCCACUAAAAUUGGCUGGAAGGUAAAUUCAGGAGCCCUUUUCAUUUUGGCUGUCAUAUUUGCUACCAAAGUCACACCAAUAUGUCUCUCUAUUAUGCAGUAAGACAAUCGAUCACAUGUCCCUUUGUAUCUAUCACCAAUAAUCGGCUGUUGCAUGCUGCUGCAGGAUACCGUCAAAAUGAUCUCCUUUGUUCUUGCCACUUCAAGCCAGCUGGGUAACACCUACUCUUUCAAGAUGUUUCCUUCCCUUGUUCAUGAAUCUGAGUAAUGCCAAGCUGAAUGUUUACCGAUUUGAUUAUGCUUUAGGCAGAGAAUACAGAUUUAGUAUUCUUAUACACUGGGUCAACUUUAUUUAAGCAUAAGAGAUCAAAAGUAUUGUUCUGUAACUGCUUAGAAUGCAUUAAAAUGUCCUUAUAAUAUGCUUGAAGCCUGGAAUGUAUUUUCAUACCAACUCAAUUAAGAAAUUAGAAUGCAUUAGAAUGUUUUAAGAUUAUAUUGUUAUAAAAUGUCUAUAGGUACAGCAUGCAUUAUAGUGCUCAUCUUGUUCGGUAGAAAACCUUCAGAUUUCUUAGCCUGAAUGAUGUGCAGAUAACACAAUUCUUAUGAAUCACCCUAUGUUGCUAUGGUGCAAAUAAAUCAUUCAGUUUAGUAUACAACAAAAACUGAAUUACUUACCCUUGUGGCAGUUAGUUACAGAGCCAGAGAGUUCCGAGACAUUUGUUGUGCUAUGCCGUCUUACGUUGCAAUAAUGUUGCUAUGGGUUUUUUAUUCAUUAAGAAAACAUUUUUCAUGGUUGUGGAGGUCCUUAGAAAAUUUAAUCUGCGGCAUUAUCAAAAUCAUGCUGUGUAAAGGUUGGAUAUAACAAAAGCUUCUUGGUAUAAGAAUUGAUGUUUGUAACUAUGCUUAUUUGUUCUCUCCUAUCAGUCGCUCGAAAAUCAGGAUUUCAUGUGCUAUAUGGAGAUGGUUCAUGCCCUGCAAUUCUGCAAUCUGCCAUCAUAUUGUUUCCAAAAGCAUAAUGAGAAAACAAUUGGGGUUGUAAACUAAGUAAUUGAAAAUAAAUAAACAUCCCAUCCUCCUUAGAAAACCACUUUCUUUGUGAAGAAUUUUGAAAGGACCAGAAGAAAGCACUUGUCCAUGAGAAUGGGAGGUCACAGCAACCACCAAGCUUAAUAGGUGAGCUAUGUUUGUUUUCUACAUUUUGAAAGGACCAGAAGAAAGCAGUGAGAUGCAUGUUUCAGGCAAUGCGACAACACAUGCUUGUGCCAGUAGUCAUUUCUGCUGCUAUAUGUAAAGUGAUUCAUUUGGCAUAAUAAACUGCAAUGUUCUGAAUGUUUUACAAUAGAAACAACGAGUCACAUAUUUUAGGAAAUGCUACAGAACUUGCUUAUGUCAGUAGCCAUUUCUGCUGGUCUAUGUGAAGUGAUUAUUGUUAGGGUAUGAUGCAAAUUCAUUUUUUUCUAAUUCUUUUCUUCAGCCAAGGUUUAUCCAGCUUUAUCUCUUAUAUUUAUUGUGUGCACAGAUCCAUACUACGAGCCAGUCUUCCCCGACACAGGCCUACACCCAGGCUAUCAGUACUAUAGACAAGGAGCUCGAGUACCUUAAGCAGGCUUUCGAGAUUUUCUGAAGCUUGGCGGUGCAAACCGGAUUAAUGAGAGGUGCUUGGAACUGCAAAAGAACAAGAAGAGCAGCAAAACUAAGUGACACUGGAGUCCAUCAUAAAUGUGAUAUGAGCUGGAAAUUAAAUUCUGGCGAUAUGGUGUGAAGAUUCUGCAUCAUUAAAUUUUUAUAAUAUGUUAGAUGUGGCAUUCAUACGUGGAUUUUCUGUAUAUAAAAAAAAGAUGUGCUACAAUUAAGAUAUGACCAAUGCAAAUAUUUUAUUCUUACCUUUACCCUCUUA
Molecule: long non-coding RNA, 4525 nt
Organism: Panicum virgatum (switchgrass)
Lineage: Eukaryota; Viridiplantae; Streptophyta; Magnoliopsida; Poales; Poaceae
Exons: 7
Source: RefSeq, a predicted model, not a curated record